UAACAUCGGAACGUGCCUGUAGUGGGGGAUAACUAGUCGAAAGAUUAGCUAAUACCGCAUACGACCUGAGGGUGAAAGUGGGGGACCGGCAAGGCCUCAUGCUAUAGGAGCGGCCGAUGUCUGAUUAGCUAGUUGGUGAGGUAAAGGGCUCACCAAGGCGACGAUCAGUAGCUGGUCUGAGAGGACGAUCAGCCACACUGGGACUGAGACACGGCCCAG
RNAcentral lists this ribosomal RNA (219 nucleotides) under uncultured bacterium. RNAcentral describes it as "partial 16S ribosomal RNA". It matches the Rfam family "Bacterial small subunit ribosomal RNA", at positions 113 to 334 of the family's 1533-position model. The record is from RNAcentral.